GCGGUGCUACGCGGAGGGACAUUACCGAGUUAUCAACUCCCAAACCCCUGUGAACAUACCUUUUGUUGCCUCGGCGGGAUCGCCCCGGCGCCUUCGGGCCCGGACCCAGGCGCCCGCCGCAGGACCCUAAACUCUUGUUUUCUAUAUGAAUCUUCUGAGUGACACAAGCAAAUAAAUUAAAACUUUCAACAACGGAUCUCUUGGUUCUGGCAUCGAUGAAGAACGCAGCGAAAUGCGAUAAGUAAUGUGAAUUGCAGAAUUCAGUGAAUCAUCGAAUCUUUGAACGCACAUUGCGCCCGGCAGUAUUCUGCCGGGCAUGCCUGUUCGAGCGUCAUUUCAACCCUCAAGCCCCCGGGCUUGGUGUUGGAGAUCGGCCCGCCCCUGCGGCAGGCCGGCUCCGAAAUCCAGUGGCGGUCCCGCCGUAACUUCCUCUGCGUAGUAGCAAUAUCUCGCACCGGAAAGCGACGGAGCCUUGCCGUAAAACCCCCAACUUCUGAAGGUUGACCUCGGAUCAGGUAGGAAUACCCGCUGAACUUAAGCAUAUAA
This 546-nucleotide ribosomal RNA is filed under the name Pseudocosmospora vilior. Its description in RNAcentral is "eukaryotic LSU rRNA". The stretch from base 181 to 334 matches the Rfam family "5.8S ribosomal RNA". Lineage: Eukaryota; Fungi; Ascomycota; Sordariomycetes; Hypocreales; Nectriaceae. The record is from RNAcentral.